Molecule: ribosomal RNA, 254 nt
Filed under: uncultured bacterium
Lineage: Bacteria
Description: partial 16S ribosomal RNA
Rfam family: Bacterial small subunit ribosomal RNA
Source: RNAcentral
UACGGGGGGAGCAAGCGUUGUUCGGAUUUACUGGGCGUAAAGGGCGCGUAGGCGGCCAGCACAAGUCAGUUGUGAAAUCUCCGAGCUUAACUCGGAAAGGUCAACUGAUACUGUGCGGCUAGAGUGCGGAAGGGGCAACUGGAAUUCUUGGUGUAGCGGUGAAAUGCGUAGAUAUCAAGAGGAACACCUGCGGCGAAGGCGGGUUGCUGGGCCGACACUGACGCUGAUGCGCGAAAGCUAGGGGAGCGAACAGG